RNAcentral lists this long non-coding RNA (340 nucleotides) under Carica papaya (papaya). RNAcentral's name for it is "long non-coding RNA (CPAP_LNC003524)". Lineage: Eukaryota; Viridiplantae; Streptophyta; Magnoliopsida; Brassicales; Caricaceae. The record is from RNAcentral.
UUCUGCAAAUGGAAUAGAGGAAUAUCAACCAUGAAUAUUUAAUCGUUGAUAAGUAGAUUUCCUAGCUAGAUAAAGUGGAUCUUAACAGGCUCCUCCUGCCUAUAAAAGGAAGAUCUUGGAACAAGUAAGAAGAAACCCGAAAGGAGAAAAGAGUAGAAAAAGAGAGAGAGAGAGGUUGUGUGUACAUGAAAGAAAAGAUAAAAAAGAAAAAUAAAAGAGAAAAAAAGGAAGAAAGAUUUAACACACACACACACACAUAUAUACACAUAUAUGUGUGUGAAAUUUGUGGCUGUCUCCUAGAAAGGAAGAACAAGGGUCCACUAUUUUUUUAAUAUCUUCU